GCCACUGCCUGCCCCACAGAGUGGGUGCGUGUGCUCGGAGCUGGUGCUGUGGGGCUGAGCUCUGGACAUCCCACCGAGGAAAGGUUGGUCGUGAACGUGACCACCAAAGGCACCAAGGGCCGGGUCAGCCUCUGAUGGAGCCCUGUGACUCCUUCCAAACUCUAGAGGAUACCUUGGCCUCCAGCCCAGUCUCCCCAGAAGGAGCAUUCCUCUUCUAGUUAUAAAGACUCUGGUGAUUAUACUGGACCCACAAGAUAAUCCAGGAGAAUCUCCCUGUUUUCAGGACUUCAGGCACAGCUGGAUCCAGGUCCUCAAACAUUCUCAUCAAGAAUUUAUCUCUUUUUAAAUAUGGAAGCUGUGCUUUCUUCUGUGUUGGCUUUAUCCUCAGAAGGCCUCUGCUCACACACUGGCAAAGAUGGUCCCCAGCUGCUGCAAGAUCAACCAAAGCAAAAAUGAGAACAACCUUUACCCAAUAGCAUCAGCAAACUUUGGUCAUCCUUGCUCCUUGGCUCUGAUCGGCUCAUCUAGGGUCAUGUGCCUGUGCCUGACCCCGUCACUCUGGGAAGAAGGGAUGGGGUACUUGCAUCCACCUGCCCUGGUCACUGGCCCCCAGGAGCUGGGGGGUAAGAUCAGUAACCUGGUCUGAGAGGGAAUAAGCUAUCAUUCCCCUAAAGAAAAGUGGGGUGCUUUUAACCUAAGAAACAUUAAAGAAUCCACAUG
Talpa occidentalis (Iberian mole) is the source of this 720-nucleotide long non-coding RNA. RefSeq lists it as uncharacterized. NCBI's taxonomy places the organism in Eukaryota, Metazoa, Chordata, Mammalia, Eulipotyphla, Talpidae. The record is from RefSeq and is a predicted model, not a curated record. The transcript has 3 exons.